UACGGAGGAUGCGAGCGUUAUCCGGAUUUAUUGGGUUUAAAGGGUGCGUAGGCGGACUGUCAAGUCAGCGGUAAAAUUGAGAGGCUCAACCUCUUCCCGCCGUUGAAACUGGUGGUCUUGAGUGGAUGAGAAGUACGCGGAAUGCGUGGUGUAGCGGUGAAAUGCAUAGAUAUCGCGCAGAACUCCGAUUGCGAAGGCAGCAUACCGGCGCCCUACUGACGCUGAGGCACGAAAGCGUGGGUAUCGAACAGG
RNAcentral lists this ribosomal RNA (252 nucleotides) under uncultured bacterium. RNAcentral's name for it is "partial 16S ribosomal RNA". It matches the Rfam family "Bacterial small subunit ribosomal RNA", at positions 524 to 776 of the family's 1533-position model. The record is from RNAcentral.